Molecule: ribosomal RNA, 253 nt
Filed under: uncultured bacterium
Lineage: Bacteria
Description: partial 16S ribosomal RNA
Rfam family: Bacterial small subunit ribosomal RNA
Source: RNAcentral
UACGAGGGGGGCGAGCGUUGUUCGGAAUUAUUGGGCGUAAAGGGCGCGUAGGCGGUCGGAUAAGUCUUGUGUGAAAUCUUCGGGCUCAACUCGAAGUCUGCACAGGAAACUAUCUGGCUUGAGUGUGGGAGAGGUGAGUGGAAUUCCUGGUGUAGCGGUGAAAUGCGCAGAUAUCGGGAAGAACACCCGUGGCGAAGGCGGCACUCUGGGACGGUACUGACGCUGAGACGCGAAAGCGUGGGGAGCGAACAGG